Molecule: ribosomal RNA, 253 nt
Filed under: uncultured bacterium
Lineage: Bacteria
Description: partial 16S ribosomal RNA
Rfam family: Bacterial small subunit ribosomal RNA
Source: RNAcentral
UACAGAGAGUGCGAACGUUGUUCGGAAUUACUGGGCUUAAAGCGCACGUAGGCGGCAUCGUAAGUGUCGGGUGAAAUCCCACGGCUCACCCGUGGAACUGCCCGGCAGACUGCGAUGCUCGAGUGUGGUAGGGGAGAACGGAACUCCUGGUGGAGCGGUGAAAUGCGUAGAUAUCAGGAGGAACACCGGUGGCGAAGGCGGUUCUCUGGUCCACAACUGACGCUGAGGUGCGAAAGCGUGGGGAGCAAACAGG